AGGGCAUCUCCAGUUUCCUGCAGCUCUCGGUUCCACAGCAGCACAGUGGAAUUCCAGCUGUUGAUGGAGAGACGCUUCAGGCUAGAGAAGCUCCGUCUUCACAUCCAGACUCCUGAAGAAACUGUGGAGAAAGAAAAAGGACAUCAUCAGCACUGUAAACACACACUACACAUGUAGUGGCUAUUAGAUGUCAGACAGUGGCGACGACUCAGGCCUUGGGAUGUGUUUGUCUUUGACUUUAGUGACACCUGGUGGACAGAAUAGCUAAUAAUUCUGGUUUGAUGUGUGUUUUACACAUCCUUUCUCCACUAAGGGGCAACAUUGGACUUGUUUUCUUUCAACACGUGGAGGACGAGUUCCUGCUGCUCUGAUAAAAUUUGGACGGUCUUCUGGUCUCCCAUCAGAUUGACCUCUUGAAGUUGAUGACCCUGAUUUAUAUCACCUAUCCCAGUUGGUAUAAAAACAAACCAGGUGAGUGCUGGACUUCACCCUGAAGAUAUCAGUUUGCUAAAAUGUGAAACUUUAUCAGUCGAGGCAAAUAGAGCGGUGUAAUGAGCGUGUCGUAUUAGUUUCGAGACUCUUCUGUAGGUAGGUAGGUAGGUAGGUAAAUAGAUAGAUAGAUAGAUAGAUAUAGAUAGUGUACAAUCAGUUACAAGUUAUGUGCAUCAUCAUCUUGACAUAUGAGAUGAUUUUAUGGCUGUGUGGAGCAAUUUUCCAAAAAUGCACAUGAGCACUAACUAUGUGUAUUAAUUUCUGCUGCUGUUGCAUGCACACCAUAAUUCAUCAGUUCAAAGAAAUCACGAUAUAAACUUUUACAUUCUGUGAAAUGCUGUUGUAAAUUGUUUUUAAUGACUAUAUUUAAAGUAGAUUUUGUGGUGUUAGCCACUUUGAACAAAUUAUUUUUUCUUUUCUUUUCUUUAAACGAUUAACCUGCAGGUUGAUUAAAAAUGCUUAUGAUGAGUUUUUUUUCCUUUUUAUAUUGCAACAAAAUUGUGAUGAUGUAACCUUGCAUUUAAACAGUUUUUGUUGUUGUUGUUGUUGUUGUUGUUGUUGUUGACCAAACAGUAUUUUUGAAUUUGGAAGUUAUGAAUAAAACUGGUGGUGUGAUUGAUAAUUAGGACAUUAACUAUGAACCAGAACAAAAUUCAA
Long non-coding RNA from Scophthalmus maximus (turbot), 1149 nucleotides. RefSeq lists it as uncharacterized. The transcript has 3 exons. The record is from RefSeq and is a predicted model, not a curated record. NCBI's taxonomy places the organism in Eukaryota, Metazoa, Chordata, Actinopteri, Pleuronectiformes, Scophthalmidae.